ACUCAAAUGAAUUGACGGGGACUUGCACAAGCAGAGGAUUAUGUGGUUUAAUUCGACGAUAAACGAAAAACCUUACCAAGAUUUGAAACCUAACUGAAUCUCCGGAGAAACUCGGAGAGUCUCACAAGGACAGUUAGGCAGGUGAUGCAUGGCCGUCGUCAGUUCGUGAUUUGAAUUGUUCCCUUAAGUGGGGUAACGAACGCAACCCUCGUUGUCUGUUACACGUAUCAGGCGAGACUGCCCAGCUUUCUUUUUGCAAAGUAAUUUUGUUAGAAGGAAGCUGGGAGGAAGGCGAGGAUGACGCCAGGUCAGCAUGUCCCUUUGAUAUCUUGGGCUACACACAUAAUACAAUGGCGGCCACAACGCGUUGCGACGGGGUAACCCUGAGCCAAUCGUAAUAAAAGCCGCCCCAGUUCAGAUUGGGGGCUGAAACUCGACCCCAUGAAGUUGGAUUUGCUAGUAAUCGCGGGUCAGCUAUACCGCGGUGAAUACGUUCUCAAGUCUUGUACACACCGCCCGU
RNAcentral lists this ribosomal RNA (520 nucleotides) under uncultured bacterium. Its description in RNAcentral is "partial 16S ribosomal RNA". It matches the Rfam family "Bacterial small subunit ribosomal RNA", at positions 899 to 1397 of the family's 1533-position model. The record is from RNAcentral.